AGGACGAACGCUGGCGGCGUGCUUAACACAUGCAAGUCGAGCGAGGCUCUCUCCUUCGGGAGGGAUGCCCUAGCGGCGAACGGGUGAGUAACACGUGGGCAACCUGCCCCUAGCACUGGGAUAACUCCGGGAAACCGGGGCUAAUACCGGAUACGACCUCUGAGGGCAUCCUCCGGAGGUGGAAAGCAUUGUGGCUAGGGAUGGGCCCGCGGCCUAUCAGCUUGUUGGUGAGGUAACGGCCCACCAAGGCGACGACGGGUAGCCGGCCUGAGAGGGCGACCGGCCACACUGGGACUGAGACACGGCCCAGACUCCUACGGGAGGCAGCAGUGGGGAAUAUUGCACAAUGGGCGAAAGCCUGAUGCAGCGACGCCGCGUGAGGGAUGACUGCCUUCGGGUUGUAACCUCUUUCAGCAGGGACGAAGCGAAAGUGACGGUACCUGCAGAAGAGCACCGGCCAACUACGCGCCAGCAGCCGCGGU
Molecule: ribosomal RNA, 482 nt
Filed under: uncultured bacterium
Lineage: Bacteria
Description: SSU rRNA
Rfam family: Bacterial small subunit ribosomal RNA
Source: RNAcentral